UUCUUAUCUAGAGUCGGGGGAGGAACCUGGUCCCGUGAUCCCGCAGCAACCGUUACAUGUAACAAGGUGCUAAAUCCAGCAAGCGUAAAGCUUGAAAGAUGAGAU
Molecule: non-coding RNA, 105 nt
Filed under: Virgibacillus sp. SK37
Lineage: Bacteria; Bacillati; Bacillota; Bacilli; Caryophanales; Bacillaceae
Also listed under: 1 other name
Description: SAM riboswitch aptamer (S box leader)
Rfam family: SAM riboswitch aptamer (S box leader)
About the family: The SAM riboswitch is found upstream of a number of genes which code for proteins involved in methionine or cysteine biosynthesis in Gram-positive bacteria. The SAM riboswitch acts at the level of transcription termination control.
Source: Rfam by way of RNAcentral